Polyodon spathula (Mississippi paddlefish) is the source of this 1451-nucleotide long non-coding RNA. RefSeq lists it as uncharacterized. The transcript has 2 exons. The record is from RefSeq and is a predicted model, not a curated record. NCBI's taxonomy places the organism in Eukaryota, Metazoa, Chordata, Actinopteri, Acipenseriformes, Polyodontidae.
GUAUUCAGUGAAUUAUUCUUUUUUGUAUAUUUAAAAAAAAAAAAAAGAAUAAAUAAUAAUAAUUUUGUGUUUAAAGUUAAGGAAAUAUCUUGUUGGGUCCUUUUGCCUUUUAAUGUAGUUUAAAUAAAUAUUUUAGAUAGUUAAGAUGGAAGGUUUUUCACAGUUGCUCCUCAGUAGGGACUGCUUUUGGGGGGUGGGAGGGAAACAGACUCUCUGCUUGAUGUGCACGACACAGUAGCUGACUAAUCUUGGUGAUUAAUUGCUUGUGGAAAGAUGUGGGAUUGUCAUCAGUAGUGCUUAUACCUUUCAUCGCACGGGUCAAUGAACAGGCAUGAACCCUUCCCACCCCUGCGCUGCACAGCUUAUUGGACUAGAACCUUGCCCUGAGUGAUGAGAAACUAGCUAGCUCGGCAUGAUUGUUCAAUACCAGGCAUCUUGGGUUUGUUAAUAUAUCAAGUCAUUGGCCAUGUCCUGUAGACUAGUCUGCCUCAAUGUGUAGAUUUACAAAAAGAUUGGAAAUGUGAUAUUAUGAAGGACAAGCAAUGGGUACAGACAUGGGUGGGUGGAUCUACUGUGGUAAAAAUAACUCAUUGGUGAAUAAUUGGUUUACAGAGAAACUGUAAUUUAGUGAUGCACAUGGCCAUUGGGGACCCUUUUUUUAAUUAAUUAUUGAAGCAAAAUAAUAAUUAAAAAAUAAAAUAUGGAAGUAAUACAAUUUGCAGUGUCUUGAUCAAUAAGUGAUCCUUUAUUUAGAAACAAUUACAGGAGCUUUAUGUAUGCUUAUUGGGAUAUUUAUGGACAUUUUGAGAAUUUUAAAUGUGGGAUAGCCUCAUUUUAAGCUGUUAGCCUUGUGGUCAGGAUGCUUGCUUAGAAGCAGCCUCCUAGUGAUGGCUUUAUGUAUUUUGGAAGUUGUUUGCAGUAAAGACAGACUUGCAGGCCGCCUUUUGGUAAGUCAGUACUAAGGAAUUCAACCAAACAUUAUCAAUAAAAGAAAAGAUGCAUGUUUUUGGUUUUAGUCUGUACAUUUCCCAUAAGUACCUUGUUCAUAUAUUCAUCAGUUUUUGAGCGAGUGACUGAGGAGAAUUGUCAAAAAAGCACUUGGUAUGAUUGGCUUGUUCUUACUAUUGAGCUGAUUUGACCCUGUGCCCUGCAAGCUAUACAGCAGCGUCAAAAUGUAAUUCAAUGUAUUAGAGUUAGAAGCAAGGUGAAUAUUUGCUGGGUAUUUCCAGUGGAGUUGAAUGAAACAGGGUAAGGCCUCCAUUUUUGUUAUGAAGUUGACUCAUUUCCAUAAUGUCUUCCUCCACCCCCAAAGCAAAUUCUGAAAUUCAUGGAUUCAUUUAUUUAUUUAACAGAAAGGCAUUAAGUCCAAGCUUUUCCUUCACAUAAAUGUACACUUAAUGGAAGCCUGCACCAGAAACCACAAGACUCCUCCUAUAUUUUAGAAAUUACAA